This 452-nucleotide ribosomal RNA is filed under the name uncultured Porphyromonadaceae bacterium. Its description in RNAcentral is "partial 16S ribosomal RNA". It matches the Rfam family "Bacterial small subunit ribosomal RNA", at positions 342 to 792 of the family's 1533-position model. Lineage: Bacteria; Pseudomonadati; Bacteroidota; Bacteroidia; Bacteroidales; Porphyromonadaceae. The record is from RNAcentral.
CGGAAGGCAGCAGUGAGGAAUAUUGGUCAAUGGGCGGAAGCCUGAACCAGCCAAGUCGCGUGAAGGAUGAAGGUAUUAUGUAUUGUAAACUUCUUUAGCAGUGGAGUAAUAAGGAGCUCGUGAGCUCCGAUGCAAGUACACUGAAAAUAAGGAUCGGCUAACUCCGUGCCAGCAGCCGCGGUAAUACGGAGGAUCCGAGCGUUAUCCGGAUUUAUUGGGUUUAAAGGGUGCGCAGGCGGCCUUGUAAGUCAGCGGUUAAAUCGUGGAGCUCAACUCCAUCCCGCCGUUGAUACUGCAGGGCUUGAUUGCGGUUGAGGUUGGCGGAAUUCGUCGUGUAGCGGUGAAAUGCAUAGAUAUGACGAAGAACACCGAUUGCGUAGGCAGCUGACCAAGCCGUAAAUGACGCUCAUGCACGAAAGUGCGGGGAUCGAACAGGAUUAGAUACCCUGGUA